RNAcentral lists this unclassified non-coding RNA (118 nucleotides) under uncultured fungus. RNAcentral's name for it is "sequence contains ITS1". The record is from RNAcentral. Lineage: Eukaryota; Fungi.
CCGAGGAACAAGCGGCUUUCGAAAGUGGCCCGCCUCUCACACACUGCGUACGCAUGUCAAUACGUUUUUUACAAGCACAAAGGAGAAUGUGUCUAAACAACCAAAAAGCAAAAAGCAA